AACGUUGCAAAUUCAUCUCGAACUUUAACCGUGGCACAUCUUGAGAAUCUAUACACCUAGGUGUUUUUUCAGGUCUCUCGGCGACGCUAUUCCACAUUACCCAUAAAGUUUGGCAAGUAACAAGAGUAAAGAUGUUCGCGAUUCGCAAGAGCUUGAUAAGCACAUCCCGUUUGACGGGCGAUAUUGCUAGGACGUAUCACAGUACGAUCCUCAGCACGCCGCCGAGGGUGAAGAUGUCCACUACUGAAAAGAUAGUUUCGCUCUUGUGUAUCGCUUCAGCAAUACUGGUAUCACCCAUGUACAUGGUGCCUAAUUUUAAGAACUAUGCCAAAAAUAAGUCUGGUUAAAGAAACUAGAUUGAUGAAGUUUCAAAUGUAUUAUCUUAGUUUGAAAAUUAAUGGUAUCAAAGUUAUUAUUUAUGAUAUACAUCCAGCGGCACACAUUUAUGGAUCCAUUGGAGGUAUCUAGAUUGUUAAUAAAUAUGUAAAAAUAAAAAUUUGUUCAUUUAUCAUUCCAA
This is a long non-coding RNA of Formica exsecta, 517 nucleotides long. RefSeq lists it as uncharacterized. NCBI's taxonomy places the organism in Eukaryota, Metazoa, Arthropoda, Insecta, Hymenoptera, Formicidae. The transcript has 2 exons. The record is from RefSeq and is a predicted model, not a curated record.